This 406-nucleotide ribosomal RNA is filed under the name uncultured bacterium. RNAcentral describes it as "partial 16S ribosomal RNA". It matches the Rfam family "Bacterial small subunit ribosomal RNA", at positions 29 to 526 of the family's 1533-position model. The record is from RNAcentral.
AUUGAACGCUGGCGGCAGGCCUAACACAUGCAAGUCGAGCGAGUGGCGGAAGGGUGAGUAAUGUCUGGGAAACUGCCUGAUGGAGGGGGAUAACUAAUGGAAGCGGUAGCUAAUACCGCAUACAAUCGGAUGUGCCCAGAGGGGAUUAGAGAGGAGGUGGGGUAAAGGCCCACCUGGGCCACGAUCCCUCGCUGGUCUGAGAGUAUGACCAGCCACAAGGGCACUUGUACACGGUCCAGAGUCCUACGGGAGGCAGCAGUGGGGAAUAUUGCACAAUGGGCGCAAUGCUGAUGCAGCCAUGCCGCGUGGAGUAAGAAGGCCUGCGGGUUGGAAAGUACUUUCAGCGGGGAGGCGUUACCCGCAGAAGAAGCACCGGCUAACUCCGUGCCAGCAGCCGCGGUAAUAC